Molecule: non-coding RNA, 104 nt
Filed under: Heterosigma akashiwo
Lineage: Eukaryota; Raphidophyceae; Chattonellales; Chattonellaceae
Source: RNAcentral
ACAAUAAAUACAUUUGAAAAAAAAAAACAAUAUAAAAUACACAAAAUGAUUGCUGUUGGUGUGUGUUUCCCUGUCCAUUUGUAUUUCCUCCCUUUUCCUUCUCC